CGGAGCGUAGCGCAGCUCGGUAGCGCACCAUCUUGGGGUGAUGGGGGUCGCUGGUUCAAAUCCAGUCGCUCCGACCA
Molecule: transfer RNA, 77 nt
Filed under: Gemmatimonadota bacterium
Lineage: Bacteria; Pseudomonadati; Gemmatimonadota
Also listed under: 1 other name
Description: Gemmatimonadetes bacterium tRNA-Pro
Rfam family: tRNA
About the family: Transfer RNA (tRNA) molecules are approximately 80 nucleotides in length.
Source: RNAcentral